Molecule: ribosomal RNA, 253 nt
Filed under: uncultured bacterium
Lineage: Bacteria
Description: partial 16S ribosomal RNA
Rfam family: Bacterial small subunit ribosomal RNA
Source: RNAcentral
UACAGAGGGUGCGAGCGUUGUCCGGAAUCACUGGGCGUAAAGGGCGCGUAGGUGGCGACCCAAGUCGAUGGUGAAAGCUCGCCGCUCAACGGCGAGUCGGCCACUGAUACUGGGUUGCUGGAGCACUGUAGAGGCAGAUGGAAUUCCGGGUGUAGCGGUGGAAUGCGUAGAGAUGUGGAGGAAUACCGAUGGCGAAGGCAGCCUCCUGGGCCAACACUGACGCUCAUGCACGAAAGCGUGGGGAGCAAACAGG